UCCGGCUGAUCUGUGGGGAUUCGGGUUCGGGGUUUCCUGGUGGGCGUCAGGGGCAGGCAACAGAGUGGCGGCCGCUACGGCCCUGGAACUGGGCCAUGGAGAAGCUGCGGCGAGUCCUGAGCGGCCAGGACGACGAGGAGCAGGGCCUGACCGCGCAGGAUUCACAGAUUAAUCUCUUGAGGUCCUGGAUGCCUCAUCCCUUAGUUUCAACACCAGAUUGAAAUGGUUUGCCAUCUGCUUCGUAUGUGGCAUUUUCUUUUCUAUUCUUGGAACUGGAUUGCUGUGGCUUCCGGGCGGCAUAAAGCUUUUUGCAGUGUUUUAUACCCUCGGCAAUCUUGCUGCAUUAGCCAGUACAUGCUUUUUAAUGGGACCUGUGAAGCAACUGAAGAAAAUGUUUGAAACAACAAGAUUGCUUGCAACAAUUAUUAUGCUCUUGUGUUUCAUAUUUACCCUGUGUGCUGCUCUUUGGUGGCAUAAGAAGGGACUGGCUGUGUUAUUCUGCAUAUUGCAGUUCUUGUCAAUGACCUGGUAUAGCCUGUCGUACAUCCCAUAUGCAAGGGAUGCAGUUAUUAAAUGCUGUUCUUCUCUCCUAAGUUGAAAAUCAGAAACUCGUGGAAAAGAGCACUUGAAUGUUGAUACUCUAUGUUUGGUGAAGUUUG
RNAcentral lists this small RNA (659 nucleotides) under Pongo abelii (Sumatran orangutan). RNAcentral's name for it is "processed transcript". Lineage: Eukaryota; Metazoa; Chordata; Mammalia; Primates; Hominidae. The record is from RNAcentral.